RNAcentral lists this ribosomal RNA (439 nucleotides) under uncultured bacterium. RNAcentral describes it as "partial 16S ribosomal RNA". It matches the Rfam family "Bacterial small subunit ribosomal RNA", at positions 338 to 795 of the family's 1533-position model. The record is from RNAcentral.
CCUAGGGUGGCUGCAGUGAGGAAUAUUGCACAAUGGGGGGAACCCUGAUGCAGCAACGCCGCGUGGAGGAUGACGCAUUUCGGUGUGUAAACUCCUUUUAUAUGUCAAGAAAAUGACGGUAGCAUAUGAAUAAGCACCGGCUAACUCCGUGCCAGCAGCCGCGGUAAUACGGAGGGUGCAAGCGUUACUCGGAAUCACUGGGCGCAAAGGACGCGUAGGCGGGUUGGAAAGUCAGGUGUGAAAUCCUACAGCUUAACUGUAGAACUGCACUUGAAACUUCUAAUCUAGAGUAUGGGAGGGGGAGAUGGAAUUAGUGGUGUAGGGGUAAAAUCCGUAGAUAUCACUAGGAAUACCUAAAGCGAAGGCGAUCUCCUGGAACAUUACUGACGCUAAGGCGUGAAAGCGUGGGGAGCAAACAGGAUUAGAUACCCGUGUAGUC